This 497-nucleotide ribosomal RNA is filed under the name uncultured bacterium. Its description in RNAcentral is "partial 16S ribosomal RNA". It matches the Rfam family "Bacterial small subunit ribosomal RNA", at positions 28 to 507 of the family's 1533-position model. The record is from RNAcentral.
GAUGAACGCUGGCGGCGUGCCUAAUACAUGCAAGUCGAGCGAACGGACGAGAAGCUUGCUUCUCUGAUGUUAGCGGCGGACGGGUGAGUAACACGUGGAUAACCUACCUAUAAGACUGGGAUAACUUCGGGAAACCGGAGCUAAUACCGGAUAAUAUUUUGAACCGCAUGGUUCAAAAGUGAAAGUCGGUCUUGCUGUCACUUAUAGAUGGAUCCGCGCUGCAUUAGCUAGUUGGUAAGGUAACGGCUUACCAAGGCAACGAUGCAUAGCCGACCUGAGAGGGUGAUCGGCCACACUGGAACUGAGACACGGUCCAGACUCCUACGGGAGGCAGCAGUAGGGAAUCUUCCGCAAAGGGCGAAAGCCUGACGGAGCAACGCCGCGUGAGUGAUGAAGGUCUUCGGAUCGUAAAACUCUGUUAUUAGGGAAGAACAUAUGUGUAAGUAACUGUGCACAUCUUGACGGUACCUAAUCAGAAAGCCACGGCUAACUACGUG